GUGACUGUAGGAAGUCUGUCUAGGUCAAGUUAUUACAAUAGAAUGAAAGGUGUCAGUGACUGUAGGAAGUCUGUCUAGGUCAAGUUAUUACAAUAGAAUGAAAGGUGUCAGUGACUGUAGGAAGUCUGUCUAGGUCAAGUUAUUACAAUAGAAUGAAAGCUGUCAGUGACUGUAGGAAGUCUGUCUAGGUCAAGUUAUUUCAAUUGAAUGAAAGGUGUCAGUGACUGUAGCAAGUCUGUCUAGGUCAAGUUAUUACAAUAGAAUGAAAGGUGUCAGUGACUGUAGGAAGUCUGUCUAGGUCAAGUUAUUACAAUAGAAUGAAAGGUGUCAGUGACUGUAGGAAGUCUGUCUAGGUCAAGUUAUUACAAUAGAAUGAAAGCUGUCAGUGACUGUAGGAAGUCUGUCUAGGUCAAGUUAUUUCAAUUGAAUGAAAGGUGUCAGUGACUGUAGCAAGUCUGUCUAGGUCAAGUUAUUACAAUAGAAUGAAAGGUGUCAGUGACUGUAGGAAGUCUGUCUAGGUCAAGUUAUUACAAUAGAAUGAAAGGUGUCAGUGACUGUAGGAAGUCUGUCUAGGUCAAGUUAUUUCAAUUGAAUGAAAGGUGUCAGUGACUGUAGCAAGUCUGUCUAGGUCAAGUUAUUACAAUAGAAUGAAAGGUGUCAGUGACUGUAGGAAGUCUGUCUAGGUCAAGUUAUUACAAUAGAAUGAAAGGUGUCAGUGACUGUAGGAAGUCUGUCUAGGUCAAGUUAUUACAAUAGAAUGAAAGCUGUCAGUGACUGUAGGAAGUCUGUCUAGGUCAAGUUAUUUCAAUUGAAUGAAAGGUGUCAGUGACUGUAGCAAGUCUGUCUAGGUCAAGUUAUUACAAUAGAAUGAAAGGUGUCAGUGACUGUAGGAAGUCUGUCUAGGUCAAGUUAUUACAAUAGAAUGAAAGGUGUCAGUGACUGUAGGAAGUCUGUCUAGGUCAAGUUAUUUCAAUUGAAUGAAAGGUGUCAGUGACUGUAGGAAGUCUGUCUAGGUCAAGUUAUUACAAUAGAAUGAAAGGUGUCAGUGACUGUAGGAAGUCUGUCUAGGUCAAGUUAUUACAAUAGAAUGAAAGGUGUCAGUGACUGUAGGAAGUCUGUCUAGGAAUUGUUUAUUACAAUGCAUAUUGUUUUUCCUUGAUCAUUAAAAAAAAAAAAAUGGCAUCUUACACUUUCAAGCUUUAGGACCUAACUGUUAAAUCGCGGUAAUUCCUUGGUGCUGAAUCCGCUUGUUGCCAUGGCUAUUAGCCUGUUAGUUUGUUUACCUUUCGCGUGGCAAAGUCACUAACAGGCCAUAACCACAGUGAUAGUAGGUGAAUAUUAUUAUAACGUUUGGGCAACGUCCAACUGUCCAUGGCUCAAACAUGCAGAGCAUUUUCAAAAUGAGACUGAAAUGUGUGUAGAUGGAUGUUUCCACAUUGAAGCCAAUAAAAAAAAAGAGAUUAUAUUGUUGUUAUAACUAGACCUAUUGGAGGGUUACUGUCUGCUAUUUAAUCAUCUAUAUUCAGUGAAUAGAAGAGCCCUUAGGUCUAUGUGUGCACCGAGUGCCUUAUGCUCAUGGAACGAGAGUCCUUUCAGCUGCUGCUCAGUGCACUAACACAGAACCCAACCAUCGUGCGUAAAUGUAUUUUGUCCCCCCACACCAAACGCGAUCACGACACGCAGGUUAAAAUAUCAAAACAAACUCUGAACCAAUGACAUUCAUUUGGGGACAGGUCGAAAAGCAUUAAACAUUUAUGGUAAUUUAGCUAGCUAGCUUGCACUUGCUAGCUAAUUUGUCCUAUUUAGCUAGCUUGCUGUUGCUAGCUAAUUUGUCCUGGGAUAUAAACAUUGAGUUGUUAUUUUACCUGAAAUGCACAAGGUCCUCUACUCUGACAAUUAAUCCACACAUAAAAUGGUCAACCGAAUCAUUUCUAGUUAUCUCUCCUCCUUCCAGGCUUUUUCUUCUUUGAACUUAUAUGGUGAUGGGCAUCUAAACUUUCAUAGUAUUACAACGACAACACAGUUUGUCUUUCAAGCACCCACGUGGGUAUAACCACUGAAGGAGAUGGCACUUGGGUAUCUGCUUCUAUGAACCAAUGAGAAGAUGGAAGAGGCAGGAUUUGCAGCGUAAUCUGCGUAAUCUGCUCGUUGACGAGCGCCAGCAGUGUCGUCAAAGGUGUUUUGAGAAAUACGUUUCCAGAGGGGCGUCGAAAACACUGUCUUAAUGUAUUUACUUUUAUUUAACUAGGCAAGUCAGUUAAAAUCAAAUUACGAUGAUGGCCUAUGUAGCCUCAGCCAUAUAAACAUUAUUGUUGUUUAAAAAAACUGAUUGAUUGUUUUUCGUUUUAAUUUGAUACAUUUUUUAUUUAUUUUUUAGAAAGAUUCACCUUCCAUGGGUUUAUUUAGUCUGCUAUUCCUGGAGAAGUGCAAAUAUGAUCUGUAAGACGGUUCCAUGAUGUUUAUAAAACAUUACAUUUGCGAGUGGUACACCGGUCAGUGGAUGUUCCCCCUUACUCGUUAUAUUGGAUAUUUAUCCAGCUCCUGUGAAAACUUUGGAUGUGUGUAAAACCCUCCAUAGUCUAAAAAGCUUUGUCUGUAUUAUAUGCCCUACGCCCUCGGGAGUAAUGACGGUGCCUGUAACUAUAUUUAUAGACAUGGCCUAUUUAAAACAAGUUGUUUUGGGUUUUAAUUAGAACUUGAUUGGAAUUAUACACUGUAUUGUUCGGCCUUAUCAAUAACCUAGGGAUUUUACGUUUGGCAUGUCCAUGUCUAGACUGCAAUUUACACUAGGUCUAGUCCCUAUAUCAGCGCGAAUAGUAUUUAGCCUAUUUUUAACAACCUAUUUCCAUAAUGUAAGCAACUCGGAUAUGAUCAAACCUGACAAAGAUUCCAAAGUCGAUUGAAAGAUCGGUUUGUGCGUCAUAUCAUAGAUGUGUACACACUAUAUUUGAUGAUAAGAUUACGUCAACGUUUAUUGUUAAAAUAAUCUUCAUUUUCUGCAACCAAUUACCAGUUUAACGUGUACAUCAACUGGACAAAAGUAAUUAAAUUGCUAUCAAUUAACACAAUUUGGGUCAUAAUUCCUACAAAGCGAUUUUUUUGUGAAGCUCACUUCGACCAAUAAAACACGGUGUAUAGGCUCGCUAGAUAAGACACAAUAGCCUUGAUUGAAUCUCAACAUACCAAUACCUACAUUGAUAUAUAUUGACGACACAAAAAAUAGGAUUCAGAAGUGG
Molecule: long non-coding RNA, 3236 nt
Organism: Oncorhynchus keta (chum salmon)
Lineage: Eukaryota; Metazoa; Chordata; Actinopteri; Salmoniformes; Salmonidae
Exons: 4
Source: RefSeq, a predicted model, not a curated record